This 365-nucleotide ribosomal RNA is filed under the name Starmerella aff. zemplinina CzB62. Its description in RNAcentral is "eukaryotic LSU rRNA". The stretch from base 52 to 200 matches the Rfam family "5.8S ribosomal RNA". The record is from RNAcentral. Lineage: Eukaryota; Fungi; Ascomycota; Dipodascomycetes; Dipodascales; Trichomonascaceae.
GCGCCCAAUCUUUAAAACUUUUAUAUUUGUUCUGAAACAAUGAAAAUUUAAAACUUUCAACAACGGAUCUCUUGGUUCUCGUAUCGAUGAAGAACGCAGCAAAGCGCGAUAGGUAAUGCGAAUUGCAGACGUGAGUCAUUGAAUUUUUGAACGCAUAUUGCGCUAUUAGUUUGUCUAAUAGCAUGCUUGUUGGAGUGAUAAUCUUCCUCUCAACCAUUUUUGGUAUGAGGUCUUGCUCCUUUUAGGAGUUAAAAUCAUGGAAGUGCACACGUUAAUUAACUCUGUGCAGUUAUACACUUUUCAUCCUCCAAUCAAGCAAGGUUACCCGCUGAACUUAAGCAUAUCAAUAAGCGGAGGAANCCGUA